UACGAAGGGGGCUAGCGUUGCUCGGAAUCACUAGGCGUAAAGCGCACGUAGGCGGAUUGUUAAGUCAGGGGUGAAAUCCUGGAGCUCAACUCCAGAACUGCCUUUGAUACUGGCGAUCUUGAGUCCGGGAGAGGUGAGUGGAACUGCGAGUGUAGAGGUGAAAUUCGUAGAUAUUCGCAAGAACACCAGUGGCGAAGGCGGCGACCUGGACCGAUACUGACGCUGAGGUGCGAAAGCGUGGGGAGCAAACAGG
RNAcentral lists this ribosomal RNA (253 nucleotides) under uncultured bacterium. RNAcentral describes it as "partial 16S ribosomal RNA". It matches the Rfam family "Bacterial small subunit ribosomal RNA", at positions 524 to 776 of the family's 1533-position model. The record is from RNAcentral.